GGAUGUAAUGAUGCCUAACAUCUUUCGGGACCUAAAGCUAUUUGCGGAUAUUUACUCAAACUGAACAUCC
This is a small nucleolar RNA of Octopus sinensis (East Asian common octopus), 70 nucleotides long. RefSeq annotates it as small nucleolar RNA SNORD2. The transcript has a single exon. Lineage: Eukaryota; Metazoa; Mollusca; Cephalopoda; Octopoda; Octopodidae. The record is from RefSeq and is a predicted model, not a curated record.